This is a non-coding RNA of Cinara cedri, 338 nucleotides long. The record is from the annotation of a GenBank genome assembly. NCBI's taxonomy places the organism in Eukaryota, Metazoa, Arthropoda, Insecta, Hemiptera, Aphididae.
CAUUUCGCGUUUACGGUUUCAUUUAUUUCUAUUUUGUUUUGUAAUUUGGUUAAAAAAAAUCGCAUAAACUUGAAAAUUCCAUUGAUUACUUAUGUUAGACAUUUUCUAGGCGUGGUCAAAUUUUCAAAACAUUUUAACGAGUUCUAAAUUGAUUAGACUCAUUUGAAAUUUUUGAGUUGUUAAAUUUCUAUUAGGUUGUAUGCGGAUAAUUUUUUUUUUGACCCCGAAAAAAUGCUUUAAAAUUGAAUUGCAGGUUCAUUGUAAACUGAACUUAGUGGUAAACAAACGAGUAAUAUUGAAUAAUAGUUUUAGUUAAAAUUUUGACUCUAAUCGUAAAA